CUACCAUGGGUUUACGGGUAACGGAGGAUUAGGGUUCGAUUCCGGAGAGGGAGCCUGAGAAACGGCUACCACAUCUAAGGAAGGCAGCAGGCGCGUAAAUUACCCGAUCCUGACUCAGGGAGGUAGUGACAAGAAAUAACGGACCGGGGUCCCUCGUGGGCUUCGGGAUUGCAAUGAGCCGAAUUUACACCCCUUAGCGAGAAUCGAUUGGAGGGCAAGUCUGGUGCCAGCAGCCGCGGUAAUUCCAGCUCCAAUAGCGUAUAUUAAAGUUGUUGCAGUUAAAAAGCUCGUAGUUGGAUUUCUGGAGGGGUGCCAAUGUCCGCCAAAACGCGUGCGCAGCGGCGCCCUUCCAUCCUUCUGUUAACGCCUCUUGGCAUUCACUUGCUGGUGGCGGGCUCAGAUAUUUUACCUUGAGAAAAUUAGAGUGUUUCAGGCAGGCUAGGCCGGAAUACAUUAGCAUGGAAUAAUGGAAUAGGACUACGGUCUCUUUGUUGGUUUGAGGGACUGCAGUAAUGAUUAAUAGAGAUAGUUGGGGGCAUUAGUAUUUAAUUGUCAGAGGUGGAAUUCUCAGAUUUGUUAAAGACUAACUUAUGCGAAAGCAUUUGCCAAGGAUGUUUUCGUUAAUCAA
RNAcentral lists this ribosomal RNA (628 nucleotides) under Ciliophora sp. Its description in RNAcentral is "SSU rRNA". It matches the Rfam family "Eukaryotic small subunit ribosomal RNA", at positions 341 to 980 of the family's 1831-position model. Lineage: Eukaryota; Ciliophora. The record is from RNAcentral.